Molecule: ribosomal RNA, 305 nt
Filed under: uncultured bacterium
Lineage: Bacteria
Description: bacterial SSU rRNA
Rfam family: Bacterial small subunit ribosomal RNA
Source: RNAcentral
GCCUACGGGGGGCAGCAGUAGGGAAUUUUCGUCAAUGGGCGCAAGCCUGAACGAGCUAUGCCGCGUGAACGAGGAAGGUCUUCGGAUCGUAAAGUUCUGUUGAAGGGGAAAAAGAGCGGAGAGAGGAAAUGGUCUCCGAUUGAUAUUACCCUUCGAGGAAGUCACGGCUAACUACGUGCCAGCAGCCGCGGUAAUACGUAGGCGGCGAGCGUUAUCCGGAAUGAUUGGGCGUAAAGGGUGCGUAGGCGGCCUGCUAAGUCUGGAGUGAAAGGUACCGGCUCAACCGGUACAGGCUCUGGAAACUG